Oncorhynchus kisutch (coho salmon) is the source of this 382-nucleotide long non-coding RNA. RefSeq lists it as uncharacterized. NCBI's taxonomy places the organism in Eukaryota, Metazoa, Chordata, Actinopteri, Salmoniformes, Salmonidae. The transcript has 3 exons. The record is from RefSeq and is a predicted model, not a curated record.
AACAAAACUGAAGUGUGCGCAGUUUUGGGGCCAAACAGACGGGUUUGGUUUAGAUUGUUGACAACAUGAGACCAGAACAAAGAGAGGAGGGUAAGGAUCUAUAAGUUCCUGCUGGAGCACUUUAGACACCUAGGGCUUUAACAUCACCAUCAAGAUCAGCUAGAACAUCCUAGGAAAUGGCAGUUAGUUGCAAAAUACGAGUUCAAAUUUAUGCUUUGUGGAUGGGGAGCUGCCCAGUGGAGGGGCGGUGGUGCCUGCCAAGACCUUUGGGAUCCUCAGCCUCAAGGAGAUCAAGCCGCCAGCGCUGAGUGGGGCAGCAGGGGCUGGUGGCGACGAGUAGAUUGCCAUGGCCAAGGUGGACCAGAAGAAGAUAGUUUCAUAG